RNAcentral lists this ribosomal RNA (253 nucleotides) under uncultured bacterium. RNAcentral describes it as "partial 16S ribosomal RNA". It matches the Rfam family "Bacterial small subunit ribosomal RNA", at positions 524 to 776 of the family's 1533-position model. The record is from RNAcentral.
UACGUAGGGGGCAAGCGUUGUCCGGAUUUAUUGGGCGUAAAGAGCGUGUAGGCGGCCAUACAGGUCAGCUGUGAAAACUCGAGGCUCAACCUCGAGACGUCGGUUGAAACCGUAUGGCUAGAGUCCGGAAGAGGAGAGUGGAAUUCCUGGUGUAGCGGUGAAAUGCGCAGAUAUCAGGAAGAACACCCGUGGCGAAGGCGGCUCUCUGGUACGUGACUGACGCUGAGACGCGAAAGCGUGGGGAGCAAACAGG